GAGGUUGUGCCCUUGAGGCGUGGCUUCCGGAGCUAACGCGUUAAGUCGACCGCCUGGGGAGUACGGCCGCAAGGUUAAAACUCAAAUGAAUUGACGGGGGCCCGCACAAGCGGUGGAGCAUGUGGUUUAAUUCGAUGCAACGCGAAGAACCUUACCUGGUCUUGACAUCCACGGAAGUUUUCAGAGAUGAGAAUGUGCCUUCGGGAACCGUGAGACAGGUGCUGCAUGGCUGUCGUCAGCUCGUGUUGUGAAAUGUUGGGUUAAGUCCCGCAACGAGCGCAACCCUUAUCCUUUGUUGCCAGCGGUCCGGCCGGGAACUCAAAGGAGACUGCCAGUGAUAAACUGGAGGAAGGUGGGGAUGACGUCAAGUCAUCAUGGCCCUUACGACCAGGGCUACACACGUGCUACAAUGGCGCAUACAAAGAGAAGCGACCUCGCGAGAGCAAGCGGACCUCAUAAAGU
RNAcentral lists this ribosomal RNA (462 nucleotides) under Escherichia coli. RNAcentral describes it as "bacterial SSU rRNA". It matches the Rfam family "Bacterial small subunit ribosomal RNA", at positions 820 to 1282 of the family's 1533-position model. Lineage: Bacteria; Pseudomonadati; Pseudomonadota; Gammaproteobacteria; Enterobacterales; Enterobacteriaceae. The record is from RNAcentral.